This 253-nucleotide ribosomal RNA is filed under the name uncultured bacterium. Its description in RNAcentral is "partial 16S ribosomal RNA". It matches the Rfam family "Bacterial small subunit ribosomal RNA", at positions 524 to 776 of the family's 1533-position model. The record is from RNAcentral.
GACGAACCGUGCGAACGUUGUUCGGAUUCACUGGGCUUAAAGGGCGCGUAGGCGGAAGGUCAAGUCCGAGGUGAAAUCUUUCGGCUCAACCGGAAAAGUGCCUUGGAUACGGAUCUUCUCGAGGGAGGUAGGGGCAUGUGGAACUUCCGGUGGAGCGGUGAAAUGCGUAGAUAUCGGGAGGAACACCGGUGGCGAAGGCGGUUCUCUGGGCCUGUACUGACGCUGAGGAGCGAAAGCGUGGGGAGCGAACAGG